GCCCGGGGCUUAACCUCGGGUCUGCAGUCGAUACGCGCAGGCUAGAGUUCGGUAGGGGAGAUCGGAAUUCCUGGUGUAGCGGUGAAAUGCGCAGAUAUCAGGAGGAACACCGGUGGCGAAGGCGGAUCUCUGGGCCGAUACUGACGCUGAGGAGCGAAAGCGUGGGGAGCGACACAGGAUAUUGAUAUCCCCCUGUGUUGUCACUCGCGUGUAAACGCGUGUGGCGCCUAUAGUGUGUGGCGCACACAUUCCCACGUUGUCCUGUGGCCGCAGCUAACGCCAUUAAGUGUCCCCGCCCUUGGGGGAGUACGGCCGCAAGGCUAAAACUCAAGGGAUUUGAGGGGGGCCCGCCCAAGCGGCGGAGCAUGUGGCUUAUUUCGACCGCAACGGGAAGAACCUUAACCAAGGCCUUGACAUACACCGGAAAAGCCCUGGAGACAGGGUCCCCCUUGUGGUCCGGUGUCCAGGUGGUGCCAUGGCUGUCUUCAGCUCGUUUCGUGAGAUGUUGGGUUAAGUCCCGCAACGAGCGCAACCCUUGUCCCCGUGUUGCCAGCAGGCCCUUGUGGUGCUGGGGACUCACGGGAGACCGCCGGGGUCAACUCGGAGGUAGGUGGGGAGGACGUCAAGUCUUCAUGCCCCUUAUGUCUUGGGCUGCACACGUGCUACAAUGGCCGGUACAAUGAGCUGCGAUACCGCGAGGUGGAGCGAAUCUCAAAAAGCCGGUCUCAGUUCGGAUUGGGGUCUGCAACUCGACCCCAUGAAGUCGGAGUCGCUAGUAAUCGCAGAUCAGCAUUGCUGCGGUGAAUACGUUCCCGGGCCUUGUACACACCGCCCGUCACGUCGCGAAAGUCGGUAACACCCGAAGCCGGUGGC
This 873-nucleotide ribosomal RNA is filed under the name Streptomyces sp. RNAcentral's name for it is "bacterial SSU rRNA". It matches the Rfam family "Bacterial small subunit ribosomal RNA", at positions 600 to 1434 of the family's 1533-position model. Lineage: Bacteria; Bacillati; Actinomycetota; Actinomycetes; Kitasatosporales; Streptomycetaceae. The record is from RNAcentral.